AGGUCAGCCGCAGGUCAGGAGGGCGGGUUAAGGUCCAGUCGUCCCCAGUAAAGGUAACCAUGGGUAACGUGGCGGGGUCGUCGCUAAGCCCAGACCAGAUGGGUUCUGUCCAGAGUGCGUCGGACCAGGAAGGACCACCCAGCAAGAGGCUCCGCAGGGUGGCGUGCUCCUGUCCUAACUGUAGGGACGAGAGGGGAGGACCAGUGGAGACCCGUCUAAGAAGAAGCAGCAUGUGUGUCACAUGGAGGGCUGUGGAAAGGUCUACGGUAAGACCAGUCUAUACUGUGGAAAGGUCUACGGUAAGACCAGUCUAUACUGUGGAAAGGUCGACGGUAAGACCAGUCUAUACUGUGGAAAGGGUCUACGGUAAGACCAGUCUAUACUGUGGAAAGGUCUACGGUAAGACCAGUCUAUACUGUGGAAAGGUCUACGGUAAGACCAGUC
Molecule: non-coding RNA, 444 nt
Organism: Salvelinus sp. IW2-2015
Lineage: Eukaryota; Metazoa; Chordata; Actinopteri; Salmoniformes; Salmonidae
Source: RefSeq, a predicted model, not a curated record